CCCCUGGUAGUAUAUCGGUUAGUACAAGCAGCUAUCAUAACACGGCAAGGAAACAAAUAAAGCCUUCAAUUUGUCAAUGCGAAAACUGGGUUCGACUCCCAGCCGGGGAU
Non-coding RNA from Rhodocollybia butyracea, 110 nucleotides. Lineage: Eukaryota; Fungi; Basidiomycota; Agaricomycetes; Agaricales; Omphalotaceae. The record is from the annotation of a GenBank genome assembly.